This 465-nucleotide ribosomal RNA is filed under the name uncultured bacterium. RNAcentral describes it as "partial 16S ribosomal RNA". It matches the Rfam family "Bacterial small subunit ribosomal RNA", at positions 28 to 507 of the family's 1533-position model. The record is from RNAcentral.
GAUGAACGCUGGCGGCGUGCUUAACACAUGCAAGUCGAACGGAAAGGCCCAAGCUUGCUUGGGUACUCGAGUGGCGAACGGGUGAGUAACACGUGGGUGAUCUGCCCUGCACUUCGGGAUAAGCCUGGGAAACUGGGUCUAAUACCGGAUAGGACCACAUUUUGGAUGGUGUGGUGGAAAGUUUUUCGGUGUGGGAUGAGCUCGCGGCCUAUCAGCUUGUUGGUGGGUAAUGGCCUACCAAGGCGUCGACGGGUAGCCGGCCUGAGAGGGUGUACGGCCACAUUGGGACUGAGAUACGGCCCAGACUCCUACGGGAGGCAGCAGUGGGGAAUAUUGCACAAUGGGCGCAAGCCUGAUGCAGCGACGCCGCGUGGGGGAGGACGGCCUUCGGGUUGUAAACUCCUUUCGCUAGGGACGAAGCGUUAUGUGACGGUACCUGGAGAAGAAGCACCGGCUAACUACGUG